AAGAUGAUGGUUCAUGGCACGGACCUAAGGUGACUGUACCCUCAAAUGUAUCUCCUUAUAAGAUGCACAACAAGACUCCAUCACAUACCGCUCCAUCAAAUCUUUUAGAAAAAGGUGAGUCUCAUUUGUUUUUAGACAUUCCUGAUACUGAACUUGAGGAGAUCAACCCCAGACAUAAUGUCAUGGGUGAGUAUAGAGGAAUUUAUAGGCGACCAAAACCUGGUGUGACUCCUCUUAAACCAAACAAGGAUGCCAAAAAUGCAUCUUUAGAUGAGGAAGAUGAUGCAUGUAGUUAAAUAGGGAUGCAACAUGAAUUCUAAGUCUAUGUUAAAUAAUAGCUUAUGUUAGUGGUAUGUGUUUUAAUCUUUUAGUAUGUUUAAUGUAAUUCUGUUGUGUAACAGGACAUGCAACUGUUGCAUGAUUCCAAUCACAUUUUCUAUUUGUAUUUAUUAUAUUUUGAUUUGUACAAUCAUUUGUGACAUUCUCUUAGCUUCUACAUUUAAAUUUAUCUCAUGCCUCAUUUGCUUUUCAUAGCCACUCUUUUAGUUAAAUUCGUAAUAAAAUCAAACAAACAUAAGAAAAUGUAGAAGAUAUAUGUUAAAUGGAUCUUAAAAAGGCAAAAGACAAAAAACAAAAUUUAUGCAUCAAGUUCUAAAAGGGGACACGUAAACGUACUACAUCAAAAUAUCUCUGAGAUAGGUCCCGGAAACGAUAUGCAAGAUUGUCAGCUGAACCUGUAAGAAUCGAACUAUCAAAGAUGCUAUCAUUGAUAAAAAUUGAGGUAGUAAAUUCACACUCCAAAAUAUAUAUAAAAAAAAAUAUAUCAUACUUACCAUAGAUUUCAAAAGCAAAAGCCAUUUGUCAUGACAAGUUUCAUCGGUCUUCAUCUGUAUCACCACCACUGUACUCAGUAUGCUCACUAUCAUCAUAAGGGAUGUGGGGUUGGAGGCAGUGCUUGAUUAAUUGUGUAUCCAUCAACAUCAGUCCUAACAUUUUCCUCAUCCAAAUCCAUAGAUGCAUCAUCCAUGUUUUGUGCAUUACAUGGAUCAUCAUGGACAUCAAUGAUAAGGUUGUAGAGAUCACGAGGCUUUGUCUUUGUCGCUACGUGCCAAUCAGUAUCUAUGGAAUCUUGGACAUAAAAUACUUGUUCAGCUUGUGAGGCAAGUAUGAGAGUAUCCCCAUCACAUAUGAGUUUCUUAAAGUUNACUGAUACGAAACCA
RNAcentral lists this long non-coding RNA (1220 nucleotides) under Fragaria vesca (wild strawberry). RNAcentral's name for it is "long non-coding RNA (FVES_LNC003960)". The record is from RNAcentral. Lineage: Eukaryota; Viridiplantae; Streptophyta; Magnoliopsida; Rosales; Rosaceae.